This 919-nucleotide unclassified non-coding RNA is filed under the name Hevea brasiliensis (rubber tree). Lineage: Eukaryota; Viridiplantae; Streptophyta; Magnoliopsida; Malpighiales; Euphorbiaceae. The record is from RNAcentral.
GGGAUACGAAUAUUGAUUUCCUUGUUCAUUUGUUUCUGAUUUCAAAGGUUCUGGUUGUGAAGCAGGUGAAUCGUAAUUUACAGAACUUGCAUUAGUUCUAUGGUAUAAGUUACUCUCAGAUGCAUGUCUGAGAGACUCAUCACCAUAGUAUUCUGAAGCUCUGGAUCCCAAGUGCCCAACUGAUGAACCAUCCACUUCCUUAGGUGCAUCUUCCAAAGUACUAGUCACUGGAGCAGAUGCCAAAGGCCCAGAAAAGGAGCCACCAAUACCAGAGCCAAAGCUACCAAAGCUCAGGUGUGAGCAGUCUGCAGUUUGAACUUGAAGAUGGUCUGGUAUUACAACAGAAGGACCAUCUCCCUCAGGUGGCACCCCUCCAUCAUCUUGUACAUUUAACUGUUGCAAGUUUGCAGAAACUGAUGAAACAGAGUUGUUAACAUCCUCAGCUUGUUGAUGGUCAAAGGUAUGAUUCUGGUUCUGAUAUCCGUAGAGGUCAUUCUCAUAAAUAGAUGCACCUCCAGCAUUAUCCUCCUGCAACCUUCUGCUUGAAGGACUACCAAGAUUUUCAAUCGUGCAGUUAUCUGUCCCCUGAACUUCAUCAAUCUCAUUUUGAUGAUUAAUUCUGUCAUAUGACAUGUUAGUUGGAUCAGGAUGCAGCUCCGAAUCAGCAGGAGGCUCUGAGAUAGAUGUCUGACUAGCAACUGAUGGCGGCUCAAUUAGAGGCCAUUCCUCAUCAGUUGAAAGAUGUUGUGGCUCUCGGUGUACCUCAGAAAUUUUGGUAGUAUGAUCAUCAGACCACUGUGUAUUUUGAUGUGAUGCACCAGAAGGGAGCCCCUGAAUAUGGUUUUGCUCGGCAUUGACAUUGUGGUGAGAUACACUAGGUGCACUUGGCACUUUGCUCUGUGGCCUACCCAUCUUCACA